UCUCCGUAGGUGAACCUGCGGAGGGAUCAUUACAGAGUUCUCGCCCUCGCGGGUAGAUCCCCCACCCACUGUUAUCGUUACUGUGUUGCUUUGGCGGGCCGCCGGGCCCCGCUCGGCCGCCGGCUCCGGCUGGCGCGCGCCCGCCAGAGGCCCAGCAAACUCUGAAUGUUAGUGUCGUCUGAGUACUAUAUAAUAGUUAAAACUUUCAACAACGGAUCUCUUGGUUCUG
RNAcentral lists this unclassified non-coding RNA (229 nucleotides) under plant metagenome. RNAcentral's name for it is "partial contains small subunit ribosomal RNA, internal transcribed spacer 1, and 5.8S ribosomal RNA". The record is from RNAcentral.